Molecule: long non-coding RNA, 428 nt
Filed under: Phascolarctos cinereus (koala)
Lineage: Eukaryota; Metazoa; Chordata; Mammalia; Diprotodontia; Phascolarctidae
Description: lncRNA (ENSPCIG00000029828.2)
Source: RNAcentral
UGGAAGGCCUUAAAGUAUGGGUCUGACGACCUGUGAAGUCUUUUGCAGAAAGGGAUGCCACAGUCGACCACAUAUAGUUUUGAGAAGACAACUUAGACCACCUUGUGCCCAGUAGCUCAAGAGGGAAGGGAGAGUUUGGUUUUUUUAAUUGUUACCUGACCUUAUUGGCCCAUUCAUACCCUUCUAAUCCCCAGAAACUCUCUUCUCCAACCCUCCCUCUAAGUACAGCUGCUCUCAUUUUUGGAGAACUAAUUCAUCUAGCUUAGGACUCAUCCAGGCUCUCUGGCUGUGCUUCUUUUUCCUCAUAUCAUAGGUUUCACUCUAGGUCAUUUUUACUCUGGAAGGUGCAGGAUUUGAGAGUAGAUACAGAAAGUGUAGGGGCAGCUAGGUUAUGCAGUGGAUAGAAUGCUGGACCUGGGGCCAGAAAG